GUGCUCUUCUUGGUGGUAGAGCAUCUGCUUUGUAUGCAAAAGGUCCCAGGUUCAACCCUGGCAUCUCCA
This is a non-coding RNA of Podarcis lilfordi (Lilford's wall lizard), 69 nucleotides long. NCBI's taxonomy places the organism in Eukaryota, Metazoa, Chordata, Lepidosauria, Squamata, Lacertidae. The record is from the annotation of a GenBank genome assembly.